This is a long non-coding RNA of Carya illinoinensis, 860 nucleotides long. RefSeq lists it as uncharacterized. Lineage: Eukaryota; Viridiplantae; Streptophyta; Magnoliopsida; Fagales; Juglandaceae. The record is from RefSeq and is a predicted model, not a curated record. The transcript is spliced from 2 exons.
GCUUUAAAUUGAACCUAGCCCAACUCAAACUGGACAAUAUGUACUCGGGCAUUAUUAGGAGUCGGAACCUUCCACCGUUCGAGCCGUUUUAUGUUUAAGGUCUUUUGUCUUUGGCCCAUCUUUAAUUAACGUUUCGAUUCAAGCUUGGACUCCGAGCUCCACCGAAGACAGAACAUGACGUGGCGUCACUGCUUGCCUACCAUGCGCUGGCAUGGAUUCUAGCCUGACAGCACUGGCAGGUAUGAGCCCAGGGGUUCGCGCGGUUCUCGGUCGGAGGCCUCAACGGACUGGUCUAUGGCGUCACUACUCUCGCAGGUUCUCUCUCUCGCACUUUUUCAAGUUUUGCGGAUAUGUAAGAAGCAAAGUCUAGAUCAAUAAGAUCUCGGGGAGAUUUGUUUCUGAUGCUCAAGCUUGCUUAUUUACAUGGGCCUGUGAAGAAUGUGUGUUCCAUCCAAGUGAAAUUUAUCCGACAUGGACAAUGGAAGCACCAUCUGAUUCUCUUAAAGAUAUUCACAUUUGUACCGGUUGGCAAUCCAUUCCUAGGCCAGCAGAGCAGAUGGUGAUAGCAUAGUUGAUUUGCUUUCUCGUUUUAUGUAUUGCAUUACUUGUACCUCUGAUCUCAAUAGGGUUUAUCUUCUCUCUGAAAAAAUGAAAAGAAAAGAAAUUGUUGGAAUCAACUGUUUGUUGACUCUUUUGAGUUAGUAGACCCCUCCCAGAUCCAUAAAAGGCUAAGAUUUCCCGAUCGAAAAUAUCAACCAUUCAAGCAUGAAGCUUUUUCUUUUUGUCUUAUCUUUUUAUAUAGAUAAUUUUAUAAAUCAAAUCAGUUCAAGUGAAUUCUAGUCUUCUAAAAUUUUGUUUUA